GCUGAUUUGGCUCAGUAGAUAGAGCAUCAGCCUACAAACUGAAGGGUCCCUGGUUCGAUUCCAGUAAAAGGCA
Molecule: transfer RNA, 73 nt
Filed under: Myotis brandtii (Brandt's bat)
Lineage: Eukaryota; Metazoa; Chordata; Mammalia; Chiroptera; Vespertilionidae
Rfam family: tRNA
About the family: Transfer RNA (tRNA) molecules are approximately 80 nucleotides in length.
Source: Rfam by way of RNAcentral